RNAcentral lists this ribosomal RNA (373 nucleotides) under uncultured bacterium. RNAcentral's name for it is "bacterial SSU rRNA". It matches the Rfam family "Bacterial small subunit ribosomal RNA", at positions 527 to 898 of the family's 1533-position model. The record is from RNAcentral.
GGAGGUGGCAAGCGUUGUUCGGAAUUACUGGGCGUAAAGGGCGCGUAGGCGGCUAGGCAAGUCAGGUGUGAAAGCCCCGGGCUUAACUCGGGAAUUGCAUCUGAAACUGCUGUGCUUGAGUUCUGGAGGGGGUAGUGGAAUUCCCAGUGUAGCGGUGAAAUGCGUAGAUAUUGGGAGGAACACCUGCGGCGAAGGCGGCUACCUGGACAGAAACUGACGCUGAGGCGCGAAAGCUAGGGGAGCGAACGGGAUUAGAUACCCCGGUAGUCCUAGCUGUAAACGAUGGGUACUUGGUGUUGGGGGUAUUGAGUCCCCCGGUGCCGGAGUUAACACGUUAAGUGCCCCGCCUGGGGAGUACGGUCGCAAGACUGAA